CUCUUUAUGGGGGGUGACUGCGUACCUUUUGUAUAAUGGGUCAGCGACUUAUAUUCUGUAGCAAGGUUAACCGCAUAGGGGAGCCGAAGGGAAACCGAGUCUUAAUUGGGCGUUAAGUUGCAGGGUAUAGACCCGAAACCCGGUGAUCUAGCCAUGGGCAGGUUGAAGGUUGGGUAACACUAACUGGAGGACCGAACCGACUAAUGUUGAAAAAUUAGCGGAUGACCUGUGGCUGGGGGUGAAAGGCCAAUCAAACCGGGAGAUAGCUGGUUCUCCCCGAAAGCUAUUUAGGUAGCGCCUCGUGAACUCAUCUCCGGGGGUAGAGCACUGUUUCGGCUAGGGGGCCAUCCCGGCUUACCAACCCGAUGCAAACUGCGAAUACCGGAGAAUGUUAUCACGGGAGACACACGGCGGGUGCUAACGUCCGUCGUGAAGAGGGAAACAACCCAGACCGCCAGCUAAGGUCCCAAAGUCAUGGUUAAGUGGGAAACGAUGUGGGAAGGCCCAGACAGCCAGGAUGUUGGCUUAGAAGCAGCCAUCAUUUAAAGAAAGCGUAAUAGCUCACUGGUCGAGUCGGCCUGCGCGGAAGAUGUAACGGGGCUAAACCAU
Molecule: ribosomal RNA, 609 nt
Filed under: Salmonella enterica
Lineage: Bacteria; Pseudomonadati; Pseudomonadota; Gammaproteobacteria; Enterobacterales; Enterobacteriaceae
Also listed under: 1 other name
Description: partial 23S ribosomal RNA
Rfam family: Bacterial large subunit ribosomal RNA
Source: RNAcentral